CUGAAGCCAGCAGGCAGCAAUAGAGGAAGGAGUGGAAGAUCGUUUUCAUUUUGGCUCCUGUGGAAAGAGAGGGAGAGAGAAAAAAGUUUGUCUCUCCGGCAACAAAGAAAAUAACUUUAAGGAAUGUUCCCAUCCUCGGCUUUCCAAGGCACUCCCCGACACUGUGAAGUUCCAUGUGAGACUGGAAACCCAGACGACAAUGAAUCCGAGACAAGCAUUGAGUUACUGAUUAAAUAUAAUAAGCAUGUCCAGCUGUAAAUACAAUAAACUCUAUAUUUGUUUGGA
Poecilia latipinna (sailfin molly) is the source of this 285-nucleotide long non-coding RNA. RefSeq lists it as uncharacterized. The record is from RefSeq and is a predicted model, not a curated record. Lineage: Eukaryota; Metazoa; Chordata; Actinopteri; Cyprinodontiformes; Poeciliidae. The transcript has 2 exons.